AUAAUGGUGGUUCAGCAGUAGAAUUCUCACCUUCCAUGUAGGAGACCUGGGUUCAAUUCCCAGCUAAUGCA
RNAcentral lists this transfer RNA (71 nucleotides) under Loxodonta africana (African savanna elephant). It matches the Rfam family "tRNA". From Rfam's summary of the family: Transfer RNA (tRNA) molecules are approximately 80 nucleotides in length. Lineage: Eukaryota; Metazoa; Chordata; Mammalia; Proboscidea; Elephantidae. The record is from Rfam by way of RNAcentral.